Gasterosteus aculeatus aculeatus (three-spined stickleback) is the source of this 8202-nucleotide long non-coding RNA. The record is from Ensembl. Lineage: Eukaryota; Metazoa; Chordata; Actinopteri; Perciformes; Gasterosteidae.
GGGGUGGGUUCGGAGGGACCUGAUGCGACUGCGGAGGUGUUCCGUGUCCCCGAGCCGACUACUACCCCGGAGGUGUUCCGUGUCCCUGAGCCGCCGCCGACUGCGGAGGUUUUCCGUGUCCCUGAGCCGCCGCCGACUGCGGAGGUGUUCCGUGUCCCCGAGCCGACUACUACCCCGGAGGUUUUCCGUGUCCCUGAGCCGCCGCCUACUGCGGAGGUGUUCCGUGUCUCCGAGCUGCCGCCGACUACCCCGGAUGUUUCCCGUGUCUCCGAGCUGCCGCCGACUACCCCGGAUGUUUCCCGUGUCUCCGAGCUGCCGCCGCCGACCCCGGAGGUUUCCCGUGUCUCCGAGGCGAUCAUCUAAUAGUUUCCACCUGUGUCCAAUCAUCUGCACCUCCCUUGUGUAUUUAAGCCGUGUGUCUCUUGUGUCACUUGUCGCGUCAUUGUCUUUCGUCGUGGCUGUUCGUGGCUCCUGUCUGCCGUUUUUCCCCUGGUUCCUGUGUGUUUUUGCCCCUUGGCCUUUUGCUUUUGCCUUUUUGACAAUUAAAGUCUUUUGCUUUCCAAGAAGUCUGCGUUUGAGUCCUGCCUCCUCCACGCAUCCCUGACACGUCGUGUUUGGUCUCCUCCGAAACUAAAAACAGUGUAGACUUGGUGAAGGGUCAAAGUGUAUCGCCAAGGAGUCAGUGGAUCAGCAAGGAAAGAUUUAAUUUUGCCAGUGUCAGUUUGUACCACAACUUCAGUAUCAGUGAUUUGCUUGUACAACCCUUCUCAUGUUGUGGUCGGUCCACUUGGAGAAACUUUACUUGCAUGGCAUGAGUUCUAUAUCUAAACAACCUUUUAAUGAAAUAACUAUGUACACAUGUUGAAAUGUGUUUCAAUAACAUGUCUCUCCGGACUGAACUAUUUUUAGCUACAUUGAUCUAAUCAAUAAAAAAAGACUAAUGAAAUGGGUAAAAACUUGCAGAAGUAGUUCAUCUUUCCACUUUAUUGCACUGAAUAUGCGCUUAAAAGCUUUUUUGGUCAUACCGUUUGACAAUAAUAUUGUAUGUCAUCAUGUUGCCUUUGAGGCAUUUCUUUACUUCAUUUUAGAUAAGGUGUUGACAGUAUAUUUUCACAACAAAUCGAUAGUUCAUAUUUUUAUUUUUCUGUGCGCCGCGCAAUCACAUCCAUUAGGAAGCACCUUAGAGGAAAUGGCGUAAGUAAAUUCUUUUCGUUACUGUGUGUGUUGAAGAUUGUCUUUGCAGGGGAUUUCCUGAAACGUAUUCUUGUUAAUUGGGGGAUGUUUGUGUGUGGGCUGCUAGCGGCACUAGUAGUUGGGAUAAAACAGUAAAAGUACUACGACACGUCAUGGUUAUAUCUGAAUGCCAGUCCUGCCUCCUGUCAUGGCCCUGCUGAGACCUACCGCCUCUAAUAUCAUCAUUAGUCCCAUUAGUACUGUUACUGUCAUCAUGAGCCAGCAUUACUGACUUUGCUUCUACCUUGAGGUCUUUGUGGUUUCUGUGGAUGGUGGUUACAUCUGAUGGGGGUUGUCCCUGCAGUGUUCCUACCGUACACCUGGCUUACUACUUUCAAUAUUUGAAUGUCUGUUGAAUUGGACUCGUACAUCUUUUAUGUGGUUCAUACUGUACAGACAUUUAUCGCAAUCUGUGCAACCGGAAGAGGGAUCCUCCUCUGCCGUUCAUUUUUUGCGGAGUUUUUCCUGUUCUGAUGUGUGGGUUUCCAGACAGGGGAUGUCACUUGUGUACAGACUGUAAAGCCCUCUGAAGCAAAUUUGCAAUUUUGGGCUAUUGAAAUGAAUAGAGUUGUACGACUUCAUGCAACCUAAUGCUGGAGGCCUUCACACAUGUGACCGAGACAAGGAUUCCUACUGCCUUAGUUAUUAUAAUUCUAAUUAAUCAGCGCUUCUCUGAAAACAUAAACAAUAGUUAAAUGACUGAACACUACGGUGUCAUAAAAGCCGCAGUAGUAAGUCUCGCAGGUUUUAGGCGCUGGGUGUUGUUGCACUCGCAGCAGCCCAUGUGAUACAGUCUGAGGUUUUCUGCAUUUUAUCGGUGAAAGGUUUGGUCUGCCUGACCAUUAACACAAUAAACCCAGAAAAACAGAUUACACACACAAUUAUGCUGGUAGGCAAAGCCAGCGUGCACUCACAAUUGGGUGAAGUGCAGCAUGGAGGAUGUGGUUUUACUCGUUCUGUCUCGAGGAAAACACCUCCGAUGUUAUUCAUCUCUCUGAGUUUGAAUGAAAACAGCAAUUGGUUUCAGGGCUGUCUGCUUGGUUUGUAUCUGCCGUGAAAGUGAUAAGUGAAUUUCAGAAGAAAAAGGAGACAAUCGAAAGAAAUUAAAAGCACCACGAGUUGUGUUUGCUUUUAAACCUUGUUUAAAAGCAGCAGUGAGAAAUCUGUUUUAUGCAGGCGUCAGCUGAUGCUGUCUAGAUAACUUUUUCGAAUCUAGCGUCCGCGGGUAAGCAAAAUUCUGUUAGGGUGGGCCGACUGCUUGCCUUUACGUGAUUCGUUAAGAUCUGAGAUAAGUCCGAAGUGGUAGUGCCCUCUGGGUACCAAUUUCUCUGAGACUGACGCUUUCUGUCAGUGGUAGGGGGCCGAGAAGUAUGCGAGAAGUAGCGGUACGCAAGAAAAGGUGCCGGUACGCUUAAGAGUAAAAUGUAGAAGUGCCGGUACUGCGUACCGGUGAGUACUGGCGCAUUUCGACCACUGGUCAGAAUAGUUCAGUGAGCAAAAUGUCAGAUAUUAAGCCUGUACCGUCCAUCAGUCCAGACCUCACAAACAACAUAUAAUACAGAGAAAAAAAAACUUUAAUUAAGGAUUACAAAUCUCUGUGAUUAUCCACAUUGUUCUUAGUCAGAAAACAGUUCUGUUAUGAAACAAAUCACAACCAAACCCGAUGGGGAAGUGACACGUUCCUGUUAGAAGGUUUCAUGGUUUGAAUCGAUUGCUGCAUCUAAUCGUCGUUUCACAUGUGGAUGCUGCUUUCACGUCGUCACUGUAGCUUUUUGGGCGGUAUGCUUGAGCAGGGAGGACUGUGUCUAAGCUGACGUGUCUGCAGAGGAAUGCGCAGUGUUUACAUGGCAGCCCGCAGAUCAGAUGAUGAUGAUGAUGAUAGGCAUAAAUGAGUCCAAAUUCAUUAUUAUCUUUCUUUUCCCUUAGCAACUUUGUCUGAUUUCCACAACUAAAUCACCUGUUUGGUUAAAACGACCAUCGACUGCAGCGCUGCACAAAAGUGUUUGCAGAUGGUAAAGAAAGAGCAGUCCGAGCAGGCUGAUGCAACGGAUCGGGUACAUUCUGUUUGUAUUCAGCCACCAUCUGUUUACAAUGUAGCAACUACACACAUACGUAUAUAUGAUCUUCCAUUUACAUACCUCAUUGUGAGAAACCAUACCAAUAAACUUUCCAAUCUAAUGUUAUACUGAGCACUUAACUUUGCACUUGAACCUCUCAGCAGUUUCAGCCGUCAUUUUUAUCAGAAAUAAUUGACUGUAGUCACCAAAUCAACAGCUGAGAUGUUCGGACAUGGUGACACCACUAAGAAUAGGUUAGACAUCACUUAGAAUCACUUAUUUGCAAAAGAGAACAAAGGUGAACAGUAAAUAUUGCUGUCCGUUAUAAACAGUUUACAGACCCACUUCCUGCCACAACCUUGCACUGCAGCACUUAGCGUAUAAAACCACAGUUGUGUGCACACCGCGUUCCUGUGUCAUGACCUACCUUUCACGUGCACUCUCUUUCAGUUCUACAUGAAUAAAUAAAUAAAAAUGGGACCGCACUUUGCUGCAACAUAUCAUGCCAACAUCACAACGUAAAAAGAAAUGAUGCACAUUUGUGUGUGUUAGUUCUUUAUUCCCUGAUUUGAAUUUCUUGCAGGCUCUGUCCUAACAGAUGAGAGGCAACUCCAAAUCUAUUUACUGUUUUUGUCAAAACGGCUUCGAUGAAAAAAUCUAAUAUUUGAUGACUAGAUAAGUUAAUUUCAUGUCUUUUAUGUUCCAUCUUUAAUCCUUAACGUUUCUGUGUACAUUUAAUGAGAGUCCGUACACACAUCACACAUCUGCCAUCCUUUGUUUACCUUUACCGCAUUGCAAUGACUUGUGGGUGAUUGCCUCUAAUGCUCACCUACCAAAAGGGUUCAUAACAAGCCCAAAAUGUCUGCCGAACAUAAAGCUCAAUGAAAAGCACUGAAUACGCCCGAGAUUACAACUUAUUCAGUCUUCAAAAAGCUUCUAAAUCAGUUUCAGCUUCUAAGUAGGUUUGAGGAGAGGAUCAGGUCAACAAGACACUUAAUAAAGAGAAGACAGAGAACAUUUUUACAAAAUAAGGCAAGAAAACCAGUUAUUUAGCUUGAGGACGGUUGACGUCAACUUGACAGAAUAACAACAGUUAUUUUAGAUUUCGACGGGACACCAACAACAGUCUCCAGCACCCAACUAAAGUUUACUACAUUCGUUUGUUACGGUAUGGUUAUAUUUCAAGUAUGUUGGGAGACUAAAGCGUGCAUCCUGGUGUCGGGGGUCACUCCCAUUCAAAUACCUAUUCAGUGACAUCGCAACAACGGGACAAAAAAGAAAUGCUUGUCAUCCUUGCAUCCAGACAGUGAGCUGCUGUUAGGUACAGACAGCAGACAGGGGAAGGAGGGAGCCAAUAAUAACGAUUAUAAUGAUGAUGGUAAUGGUAUAGGCAAAUAAAAGAGUCCCCUGGACAUUGUUUGAUGUUUGUGUGAGCCUUCAAACAGAGCUGGGUGAUGAGUGGGUUAAUAUAAGGCUUUUUUCCCCGUCUGUAGUCCUGUGCCCCCCACCCCACCCCCAUGCAGAGAACAUCACCUAAUUACAAGCCAUAUCAAGAUAGACCAUGUGCCUGUGUGUGUGUGUACCUACAUGAUGGUCUUUAUGUGUGCGAGUAAUUACUCCCCACCAUUUAAAAAAGGUUGUCUACAGGCUCCAUGAAAGGAGAAGGGCAGCUUAAUGAAGCGGUGUGUUAGGAACACCCACCACUUCCAGACUGCUGCUGGUGCCUCCACAUUGUGCAAGGGGGGUUCUCUGUGUAUCAUGAUGCUAGUUUAGGUAGGUUUGUAUCUGAUGAGUUAGUCAGCACAUACAUUCAGCUAAAUCUGGUGCUGACGUGUAGAAAUACCAUUGGCUGCAUCAGCUUGAAAAAAGUAGUAACUCCUUGCCAUUUUAGAAUUGUUAGAACUUCUUCACCGUGUUUGUUCAAAAUCAACAUACUGUACUUGUCAUUUGUGUGCAUGACAUUAAAAUAAUAUUUUAAAACCAUAUAUGCACCUUUCAUAAAUCAUCAUGUUGUAUAUUAUCAACAUAAUGUUUGUAGGUAGGUAGGCUUCAAUGAAAAUGGUCUGUAUUUGCCUUGUUUUUGACUCUGCUUUGUUCUGCUCACAGGAUUACCACUUCAAGUAAAUCGUUUUGGUUCUGAUCUGCUUUUGGGUUCCCUUCAGAACGCUGACAUUAUACAGCUUCACAAAACCAACAAUUCUUGCACACCUCGCACAAUGUUGGGGUGUGAAGGUAAAAAGAAGUUGAACUUCCUUGUUGUAUCUGGGUUGAUUUUACACCCAGUAUGGCGGCAAAUCACUGUCAAAAUUCAAGAGCGCUGAUCGAGUUGAUGGGCGCGAGUAAAUCAAACAUCCGUGAGCAAAUCGCCGUCUCGCGCAAUACAUUUGCUCGCUCGCAGAACGUGAACUUCCUCGCUCGCGAGGCGAAUCUCUCCUCGCGCUCAAAGGUGUUUUCUACGCGUCUUUGGAUUGGCUGGAGUUAUGCAUUCACAGAACUAUAGAAGCCCAUUUCCGCACUAAAGAAAGUCGAAAUUAUGAGAUAAAACGUUAACUGUUAAACGAUAAAACACAAAUGACACCUCUCUGUAACCGUCGCAAAUCUCCGUCUCGCGCGUGCUGGCGAAUGUUUGAUUUACGCGUGCGCAUCAACCUUGAAAUUUGACAGUGAUUUUCCGCCAUAAUCCAGCCUCUGAAUGUUCAUCACCUCCCUGGGAUGUGCCAGCCUGCUUCAAAACCUCCACCAUCAUCCUAUUCCCAAAAAGCUCAGGAUCACAGGACUUAAUGACUGACCUCUGUAGUCAUGAAGUCACCUGAAAACCCUCACUGCCAAUGGUGGUGCACUUCUACACGGCCAUCAUUGAGUCCACCCUCGAAGCGGGCUAAAAAGAUUGUAGCCGGCCCCUCUCACCCCGGACAAAAAUUGUUUGUGUCCCUUCCAUCUGGCAGGAGGCUGAGGUCCAUCAGGACCAAGACCUACUGCCACACAGACAGAUUCUUCCCGUAGGCUGUCGGGCUUAUCAACAGAGCCCGGGUCCCUUCACAUUCCACAUUCACAUACACUUUCACAUACACUCAUAACCAGCAUCGGAAAAACAGAAGGGCAAAAUUUCCCCCAAGAAAUAUAAUUUUGCCCCCAUAUCACUGGGAGAGGGGGGCAAAAUGCCCCUAUCAUUUUCUCAAACAAUAAUUACAAUUUAGUUAACUUAUCAAAAACAUUGUAGUCGUAAUAACCGGGUCCAGUUGCCACAUAAUGUUUGAUUCUCACCUUAACUGAUGUUGCGUGUGCGGGAAGAAUCAAACGAUCAGACCUGUGAGUGCGCGGCGAGCAAAUCCAGCCUCCGUCACCAUCUCUGGUUCAAAGAAAAAAUCCACGCUACGAAGGCUUGCUAGCUGGCUAACGUUAGCCAGGUGCAGUCAGUGAGAGAUGUUUCCUCUCCUCAUAGGUUACUGUCAUCUUUUGGUUAACAGCCAAUCCUCUAUUUGGGUAAAAUGCAAUUAUUUGACCCCUACACCAGAUUCCCCUUACUUGCUACAUUGGGAUUCUUAUCAUACCAUCUUGAGUUCAACAAUGAUAAAUCCCAGAGUAAAAUCACAAAUACACAACUCAGUGUGUACAUACAGAUGGCUCCAUGGCCUCUCCAAAACACAGAGGCACCAUGAACCACAAUAUUUGCUGUUAAACAAACACAGACGUCCAACUACCUCGUGCCACAAUGAUGUGGUUCCUCCAAGAAAAGCAGCACAAAAGCAUUACGACCAUCCGUGCUUUCCUUUUUAGUCCCAACUUAAGACAAUAAAACAGAUCGCAACUGGUAUUUUUCAGCAUCUGGUGACUUCCCAUGCGGUAGUGUCCUGCUACCCACUAUUAUGCCCCUCAACCAGACAAAAUAUUCCACGGUACAAAACCAAAAACAUACAAUUAUGUGUGUGUGUCUUUUAGCCACCCAGCUGCAGUUAGUAGGUCUUUAACCAAUUCUGUCUCCCGUGUUUGGACUGUAGGAGAGAAGACCACCCUGGCAAAGUCCCUAUUUUUCUCUUUCUCUCUCAUUCUCUUUCUCUCGGUCUCUCUUUCUGUCUCUCUCCCCCCUCUCUCUCUGGUGCUCACUUUCUCUCUCUCUCUCUCUCUCUCUCUCUGGUGCUCACUUUCUCUCUCUCUCUCUCUCUCUCUCUCUCUCUCUCUCUCCUAACCACUAUACUAUUGAAGAUUUCCUAACCUGUGCCCUUGAGUUACAGUUCUGAAUCCACCAAACACUCAAUUAUACUUUAAAUAUCUGUUAGAGGUUCUCAGUAUAUUUCAUAGCAUGCUUAGCCACGCUGAGAGUGAAUCAAGCUCAGCUGAACUUGAACUGGCCUUGGUGUGGCUUCCAGCAGAGCAGCCGCCAGAAUGCAUCCUCCACUACAAAACAACAAAGAUUUGCACGGUGACAAUUUAGGACGACAAAUAUCUGGAGGGUUUUAUACUAUUGAUACAACUGUGGUUCUCUUGUUGCACUCUUUUUCCUUUUUCAUCUGUAUACUUUUUUAAUUUUUACCUACUUACUUAUUACCGCUGCUCUUUUAUUGUUGUUGUUUUUUAGCAUGUAUCUUGUGUGCACUGUCCACUUUGCUGCCGCGAUCCUGUGAAUUUCCCCAUUGUGGGACUAAUAAAGGAAUAUCUUAUCUCUCAACUUAUCUUAUGAUCGGCAUGAGGAAAUGCAAAAAAAUCCCUGCUUAUUUCUCCUAAAUGAAUACGGAAGGAGUACGUUUUACAUGUAGCUUUUUUACAAAUAAAUGCUCCACUUAAAAAAUAUUAUUCCUGGUAAAAUAGUUUAUGUUCUCAUACACAACCACCUUCAUUAUAAUUGCUUCUUGUACAUUCUGCUGGUUUUUCAGUUAAUGAAAAAACAGCAAAAAAAAAAGCUCACCCAGAGCAG